GGAAGAGUGGGCAAUUACACCAACGCCGAUGACAUCUUACUAUGCAAUACUUGGUUGCAAGUGUCGAAGGAUCCAUCCGUUGAAGGUGAUCAAAGUAGAGAUGCUUAUUGGGGGCGGAUGAAAGAACACUUUGAUGUUCACAACGUGAGUGGAAUUGACCGCUCCGAGAGAUCACUUCGGUCCCGAUGGUCGACAAUCAACUCGAAUUGUCAAAAGUGGGCGGCCGCACAAAAGGCGGUUGACAAGUUGAACCCAAGUGGCACCAAUGAGGACGAUAGAGUAAGUGAAGAGGAGAGGAAAACCAAGAAGGGGAAGAUCAAGAAAGGAAGGGUCUUUACCUUGCUUCAUUGCUAUUAA
RNAcentral lists this ribosomal RNA (357 nucleotides) under Triticum aestivum (bread wheat). RNAcentral describes it as "partial small subunit ribosomal RNA". Lineage: Eukaryota; Viridiplantae; Streptophyta; Magnoliopsida; Poales; Poaceae. The record is from RNAcentral.